This 274-nucleotide ribosomal RNA is filed under the name uncultured bacterium. Its description in RNAcentral is "partial 16S ribosomal RNA". It matches the Rfam family "Bacterial small subunit ribosomal RNA", at positions 523 to 796 of the family's 1533-position model. The record is from RNAcentral.
AUACGGAGGGUGCAAGCGUUACUCGGAAUCACUGGGCGUAAAGCGCGCGCAGGCGGCUUGAUAAGUUGGAUGUGAAAGCCUACGGCUCAACCGUAGAACUGCAUCCAAAACUGUCAGGCUAGAGUGUGGGAGAGGAAGAUGGAAUUAGUUGUGUAGGGGUAAAAUCCGUAGAGAUAACUAGGAAUACCAAAAGCGAAGGCAAUCUUCUGGAACACUACUGACGCUGAGGCGCGAAGGCGUGGGGAGCAAACAGGAUUAGAAACCCUAGUAGUCC